Molecule: long non-coding RNA, 1377 nt
Organism: Spodoptera frugiperda (fall armyworm)
Lineage: Eukaryota; Metazoa; Arthropoda; Insecta; Lepidoptera; Noctuidae
Exons: 5
Source: RefSeq, a predicted model, not a curated record
UUUUAUGUUUCGCUUUGUCAUGAUUUUAGAGCCAUUACAUUAUUGCAUACUGCCACGUUCAUUGCUACGUUUUAUAACCUGAAUCUCAUUGGUAAUCGUACCAAGUAUUUUGUAGUCUUUAAAGCAAUUCAGAUAGCCCCAGUCUUGGCCGAAUAAUGUAAAUAUAUUAAGAAUUCCGAAAUAACGCAGCUAUACUGCUUGGAGUGAUGUGCCAAUGCUUAGAGUGGAGUGUAAAUCGAGCACGCGUUGUGUCCUAACAGGUUGAAGCUGCAGUUUGUGACCCAUACAACAAAAAUACUCUAAUGGUCAACUUAAGGAAUGAACACGCAAUAUCAAAACAUUGAUUGGAGCAAAACCACAACCUCAGCCUUGUACAUAGUGGACGUGUUGUGUCCUCACAGGUUGAAGCUGCAGUUUGUGACCCAUACAACAAAAAUAUUCUAAUGGCCAACUUAAGGAAUGAACACGCAAGAUCAGUAGAUUGACAAACGAAAUACGCAGACAUCAGCAGCAUGCAGACAGGGUCGAUGAACUGAAACCUCUCGUGUGGUUUAGGAAAAACGUGAACUGAGCAAGAAUUAAGCAUAUUGCAGUAAAAUACAAUUGCUAAAGUAUUUACCUACCUCCUACUUCAACGCUUUGCUGUAAGGUGUUCAGUUAAACAGAAGUGAGAACGAUUAGUGUUCAUCAAAUGGAAGCGGAACCAUCUUCCUGACCCUGGUCUGGUGCUGCUGCAAAAAUCACCGGAGCUGGAUUUGAGUUUAUUUCAAGUGAGACAGAGCCAGUCUGCCUGUUACCUAUUGUAAAUUUAAUUAGUUUUAUUUUUUUGUAUAGUUUAUUAUUCAUAUUUGAUUUAUUGAGUUGUUUUUUGUUUUAUACCUAAUGUUACAUGCAAUGUAAAGAUUGGGGGUGCAACUAGCGUGCUAGCCACAAGAGAAAGGCUGCCCACUACCCAGCCAUCUGUCGAAAAAUCCCUCAGAUAGGCCAUAGUGCUUAUUGGGGCUCGGUAGAUAUCCGUUGGGGGCUUAGAUAUCCCUAGUCUCCAGACUGACCUCCUAAAUGUUGUAGCUAACUGCGGCGCGCGCCUGAGAGUCACCUGUAAUCCUAUUACACCAUCAUUCUUCUAGCAACCUUCCUCCAUUGGAAGAGAAUACAGCAAAGGGUUACAUAACGGUUGCACUCCCUUUUCCACAGCUUCGAUAUUAAUGCCUUGAGAUUGAGAACCCUACGCUCUUGUUUCUCCCGGUGAUCAAAUGGCCGUCACGUGAAGCAAUUGUUUUUUUUUGUGAAACUUUAUUAACCUUGUUUUCAAUCAUUUUAAUAAAGAAUUAUCUAAAAGAAUCUUUGUAAUUUAUUUAAACUAGAUACCUACAUAAU